Molecule: ribosomal RNA, 460 nt
Filed under: uncultured bacterium
Lineage: Bacteria
Description: partial 16S ribosomal RNA
Rfam family: Bacterial small subunit ribosomal RNA
Source: RNAcentral
CCUACGGGAGGCAGCAGUGAGGAAUAUUGGUCAAUGGACGAGAGUCUGAACCAGCCAAGUAGCGUGAAGGAUGACUGCCCUAUGGGUUGUAAACUUCUUUUAUAUGGGAAUAAAAUGUUCCACGUGUAGGAUUUUGUAUGUACCAUAUGAAUAAGGAUUGGCUAACUCCGUGCCAGCAGCCGCGGUAAUACGGAGGAUCCGAGCGUUAUCCGGAUUUAUUGGGUUUAAAGGGAGCGUAGGUGGAUUGUUAAGUCAGUUGUGAAAGUUUGCGGCUCAACCGUAAAAUUGCAGUUGAAACUGGCAGUCUUGAGUACAGUAGAGGUGGGCGGAAUUCGUGGUGUAGCGGUGAAAUGCGUAGAUAUCACGAAGAACUCCGAUUGCGAAGGCAGCUCACUGGACUGCAACUGACACUGAGGCUCGAAAGUGUGGGUAGCAAACAGGAUUAGAUACCCGAGUAGUC